AGUUUUAAGCAACAUGGCCAGAAAAGUUUGUGCAGUUCAAGUUCUGCAAACACUUUUGAGUGCUUGCGAGCCGAUUUCGCGCGGCCAACUGAUGUCGAUGUUCACAGCGGAUCCUGUGGAUGCAAGCGUAAGGAAGGAGUUGGACACAAUUCUGUCAACUUGCAAGGAAUUGGGGAUGGUGGUGGAAGUUGACGACUGCUUCUACAACUCCAAGGUGGCACAACUAAUUAUUGAGCAGUCGAGCUCAGAGGACGGCAGCUCAAUCCACAAUAAAGGAGAUACCGACUAAUGAUCCGUGACAUGGCUUCGCUCGUUUGACCAAAAAGCUUCAUCAAAUUGUUAUUCAAAUUUAAUAAAAUCGUAAGAUACUGACAA
Molecule: long non-coding RNA, 375 nt
Organism: Scaptodrosophila lebanonensis
Lineage: Eukaryota; Metazoa; Arthropoda; Insecta; Diptera; Drosophilidae
Exons: 2
Source: RefSeq, a predicted model, not a curated record